Molecule: non-coding RNA, 203 nt
Organism: Canis lupus familiaris (dog)
Lineage: Eukaryota; Metazoa; Chordata; Mammalia; Carnivora; Canidae
Source: Rfam
CUAGAAGAACCGAAAACAGUUCUAGACAGACCUGGGGUUUUAUAGCAGUUUUGGCAGUCAACUUCAGCUUGUGCCUGAGCAGACCGGCUGCGGUGGCCCACCAGCGGGGGACGCCAGGCCGCCUCCCCCAGCGGCCGCAGCCCCUCUCCUAAUUAGAUCGCUUUUCCCCUAGGUGCCAGGGAGAGGGGGUCCCCGCUGAAAGG